UACGGAGGGAGCGAACGUUGUUCGGAUUUACUGGGCGUAAAGGGCGUGUAGGCGGCUCCGUAAGUCAGGGGUGAAAUGUCCCGGCUCAACCGGGAACCUGCCUUUGAAACUGCAGAGCUCGAGGUCGUGAGAGGAGACUGGAAUUCCUAGUGUAGCGGUGAAAUGCAUAGAUAUUAGGAAGAACACCAGUGGCGAAGGCGAGUCUCUGGCACGAUUCUGACGCUGAUGCGCGAAAGCUAGGGGAGCAAACGGG
This 253-nucleotide ribosomal RNA is filed under the name uncultured bacterium. RNAcentral describes it as "partial 16S ribosomal RNA". It matches the Rfam family "Bacterial small subunit ribosomal RNA", at positions 524 to 776 of the family's 1533-position model. The record is from RNAcentral.